This 65-nucleotide transfer RNA is filed under the name Allobates flaviventris. RNAcentral describes it as "tRNA-Cys". The record is from RNAcentral. Lineage: Eukaryota; Metazoa; Chordata; Amphibia; Anura; Aromobatidae.
GGCUCCGGAGUGUUACAUGCAGGAUUGCAACCCCUGAGAAGCAGAGAGAAGUUCUGCCGGGGCUU